UAGCCCACGCUUCCUGGAACGGUGUGUGGGUAAUAGCUCCGGCGGCCUAGGAUAGCUCUGCGGCCUAUCAGGUUGUAGCGAGGGUAACGUCCUCGCUAGCCUACGACGGGUAUGGGUGUUGGGAGACAUCGCCCAGAGAUGGAUUCUGAGACACGAAUCCAGGCCCUACGGGGCGCAGCAGGCGCGAAAACUGCACAAUGUGGGAAACCACGAUGCGGGAAGCCCAAGUGCCAGCGCUAUGCGUUGGCUGUCCUCAACUGUUCAUUGGUUGGGAAGAAAGUGCUGGGUAAGACGGGUGCCAGCCGCCGCGGUAAUACCCGCAGCACAAGUGGUGGUCAUUAUUAUUGGGCCUAAAGCGUCCGUAGCAUGUUUGUUAAAUGCCUGGGUAAAUCGAUGCGCUUAACGCAUCGAAUUCCGGGUAGACUGGCAAACUCGAGACCGGGAGAGGUGUAGGCUACUCGAGGGGUAGGGGUAAAAUCCUGUAAUCCUUUCGGGGAGGACCAGUGGCGAAGGCGCUACACUAGAACGGCUCUGACUGUGAGGACGAAGCCUGGGGGCGCAAACUGAUUAGAUACCGGGUAGUCCAGGUGUAACGCUGCG
This 600-nucleotide ribosomal RNA is filed under the name uncultured archaeon. Its description in RNAcentral is "bacterial SSU rRNA". It matches the Rfam family "Archaeal small subunit ribosomal RNA", at positions 157 to 764 of the family's 1478-position model. The record is from RNAcentral.